CAGGUGGUGCAGUGGCUAGCAUUAUUGCCUCACAGCAAAAAGGUCCUGAGUUCGACUCCACCAUUUUGCUGUGUUGAGUUUGCAUGUUCUCCGAGUGUUUGUGUGGGUACUCUAGCUUCCUAGAAGAUUCUGGUUUUUAAUUUGGCUUUAAGUGCACAUCCUCAUUCAAUUUACAGGUAAAGGUCAAGGUUUUCAUACAGGUUAAGGUUUUCAUCUUUAAAGGUCUUUGAGAUAUUAAUGUUCAAACACUGCUUUAGUUUUAAAUGUGUAAAAAAACAAACAAACAAACACACAAAAAAACCCCACCUCCUACUAAAAAAAACUUUAUACUUUUUCAUUUAUAUUAAAAUACAUUUAGACACACCUGUCAGUUUGGGAGCUGCAUGCCCAUCUAGCUCCUAGCUACUGUCAUUUUCUUUUUAAAACGGAAAAUUAAGUUCACACAUCAUCUUGGCAUAGUGCACAUGCCUACACA
This is a long non-coding RNA of Haplochromis burtoni (Burton's mouthbrooder), 475 nucleotides long. RefSeq lists it as uncharacterized. The transcript has 2 exons. Lineage: Eukaryota; Metazoa; Chordata; Actinopteri; Cichliformes; Cichlidae. The record is from RefSeq and is a predicted model, not a curated record.